Molecule: long non-coding RNA, 780 nt
Organism: Ornithorhynchus anatinus (platypus)
Lineage: Eukaryota; Metazoa; Chordata; Mammalia; Monotremata; Ornithorhynchidae
Exons: 3
Source: RefSeq, a predicted model, not a curated record
UGGAGUUAUGUGAAGAUGGAGAAGCAAGCAUUGGAGCAGCUGAAGGCAGUAGCACUUGGAAGCAGAAAGAAGAAACAUUGUCAGAAUGGGUUCUUCUGACAACAGACUAGUAUUGGACCCUUGGUAGAGUGAGUGAAUAUCUCUGAAGAGAUACCUGGAACUGAGGAAAAGAUUGAGCAGAAACCCAAGAGCCAGCCUGUCAUGAAUACAGUAGGAUUCAAAAUACUAUAGCAGGAGUCUUUGUCAAAGUGGAUGAAGCUAGCUUUUUAGCACUGGCAUACAUGAUGGGAACGAAACAAACAGAGCAACACAAAUAUUCCAUUGUUUGCCUCUGUCAACCGAGCGGCUGAAGACAAAGGCAUCAGAAUGCUGGAGAAGCAGUUUUGUGGAAAUGCCGGUGAGCGGGGCCGAACACCAUUCAUUUCUCAAGUGCUGAAAGGGAGGUAACUUGCGAAGCACAAAAAGGAUAGGAAGGUGAUGCGACAUGGAGCAACGAUAAAAACGAAGAUCAUUCUCAUAACAUUUACGAAAAUGAAAACCUACUUGGAGCCCCUCAUCACCAUACGUACACCCUCAAUUAAAACAAUGCCCCUGAUAGCAGGCAGUAUAAUCUGCAUUUUAUUUCACUCAUGAGCAAAAUAACAAGUUACUCAGGCCUGAGGCAUUCAUGAGUGAUAUGGGGCGUGUAAUAUCCUUUCCAUUGAGUUUCCUAUUAUUAAGCUUGAAAUAAGGAGUUCAGAAUUAACUGUGACAAUGAUUUUAUCUAGUGUUGGCAUCACC